RNAcentral lists this ribosomal RNA (644 nucleotides) under Bacillus sp. (in: firmicutes). RNAcentral describes it as "bacterial SSU rRNA". It matches the Rfam family "Bacterial small subunit ribosomal RNA", at positions 182 to 862 of the family's 1533-position model. The record is from RNAcentral. Lineage: Bacteria; Bacillati; Bacillota; Bacilli; Caryophanales; Bacillaceae.
UGAACCGCAUGGUUCAAACAUAAAAGGUGGCUCGGCUACCACUUACAGAUGGACCCGCGGCGCAUUAGCUAGUUGGUGAGGUAAYGGCUCACCAAGGCAACGAUGCGCCGACCUGAGAGGGUGAUCGGCCACACUGGGACUGAGACACGGCCCAGACUCCUACGGGAGGCAGCAGUAUUCCGCAAUGGACGAAAGUCUGACGGAGCAACGCCGCGUUGAUGAAGGUUUUCGGAGUAAAGCUCUGUUGUUAAAGAACAAGUACCGUUCGAAUAGGGCGGUACCUUGACGGUACAACCAGAAAGCCACGGCUAACUACGUGCCAGCAGCCGCGGCGUAGGUGGCAAGCGUUCCGGAAUUAAAAGGGCUCGCGGCGGUUUCUUAAGUCUGAUGUGAAAGCCCCCGCUCAACCGGGGAGGGUCAUUGGAAACUGGGGAACUUGAGUGCAGAAGAGGGAGUGGAAUUCCACGUGUAGCGGUGAAAUAGAGAUGUGGAGGAACACCAGUGGCGAAGGCGACUCUCUGGUCUGUAACUGACGCUGAGGAGCGAAAGCGUGGGGAGGAUUAGAUACCCUGGUAGCCACGCCGUAAACGAWRARUGSUAAGUGUUAGGGGGUUUCCGCCCCUUAGUGCUCAGCUAACGCAUUA